UACGGAGGAUCCAAGCGUUAUCCGGAAUCAUUGGGUUUAAAGGGUCCGUAGGCGGGCUUAUAAGUCAGUGGUGAAAGUCUGCAGCUCAACUGUAGAACUGCCAUUGAUACUGUAGGUCUUGAGUCAUUGUGAAGUGGUUAGAAUAUGUAGUGUAGCAGUGAAAUGCAUAGAUAUUACAUAGAAUACCGAUUGCGAAGGUAGAUCACUAAUAAUUUACUGACGCUGAGGGACGAAAGCGUAGGUGGCGAACAGG
This 253-nucleotide unclassified non-coding RNA is filed under the name uncultured Flavobacteriaceae bacterium. RNAcentral describes it as "contains 16S-23S intergenic spacer region". It matches the Rfam family "Bacterial small subunit ribosomal RNA", at positions 524 to 776 of the family's 1533-position model. Lineage: Bacteria; Pseudomonadati; Bacteroidota; Flavobacteriia; Flavobacteriales; Flavobacteriaceae. The record is from RNAcentral.